UUCCAAUGUUGUGCCUCCAGCUAUAGCAGGCAUGGACAACUUUGCAAUAUUAGAACUGUAUUGCUGUUUUUUUAAUCUGCUGGAAGUGAUAUCACAUCACUUCUGAGUGCUAUUUUGACUGAUGUUUGGCCAUUUUUUAUUUGGGGUGAAGAUAUGGAAGGUUCUAGGACAUGAGAAAGAACAUUGCCAAAGUUGUGGGCACCUCUGGGUAUAUAGAUUUAGGUGAUAAAUGACCCCCAAUGUGACAUGAUUUAAUCUUUUUGUAAAUGGGACUUUGGGGGAGUUUUUUUGGAGGGUUUCAGGGUCUGUUUUUGCAGGUGUCAAGGGUUGCAUGCAGCCUAAAAAGGUUCACCAUAUUGUUCACCUUUAAACUACAGGAAUAGAGCUGAAUUAUUAUUUGAACCACUGCCUUCUGCAACAGGUAAAAGUUGGGUUAUGGGGCAGAUGGGGAAAGAGACAUGCUACAGUUCCACCCAAUGAAACUUUGUACUUGUUAUGUUAUUUUCAACUCAUGGAGACUGUAAGGCAAAUGAAUUAUAGGAUUUUCUGAGGUAUGAGUGUGUGACUGGGUUUCCAUGACUGAGUGGGGAUUCAAACCCUUUUUCUUCCACUCAAUUUUCCAUUUACCUGAUGAUCAGUUAGCAUUUUGUGCUCUAGUUUGUGCCCUGACACCUACUUUUUCUUGUGUAUUGAUCCGGUGAAUUUGGUGAAAUUGGUAACAACACUCACACCUGAACAGUGAUAACAGCAGGAAUGAUAACUGCUUCAUCAUGUGUCAUUUCCAUUUGGAGGUUGUAACUAAUAUCUGCUGAUAGAUCCAUUCGCCAGGAAUUUGAGUAAUCCAUUUUAUGUGUCAUCCAAGCCUGCAGGCAUCACUACUUCCUCGCAGUGGUGAAUUCUAAUGCAUUAAUUAUUAUGCAGCGUGUGUGAAGAUAUGCUAUCUUGUCCGUCUUGAACCUAUUUUGACACAGUGACACAGGAAACCUGGUUGGAUAAGCAGGAAUCCUGCAAAUCUCUUGGGAAGACAGGUGGACAAAUGUCAGCAUUCUGGAAGAAGCAAAGACCACCAGCACUGAAGUGAUAAUUCUCCUCCACCAACUUCGCUGGACUGGUCACGUUGUCCUAAUGCCUAAUCGCCAUCUCCCAAAGCAGUUACGAUGCUCUUAACUCAAGAAUGGAAAAUGGAAUGUUGGUGGACAGCAAAAGAGAUUUAAAGAUGAGCUUAAAGUUAAGCAUAAAAACUGUAGCACAGACACUGAGAACUGGGAAUCCCUAACUUGAGGUUAGCAUUCUACCAGAGGUCAGCUGCUACCAACAGUGCUGCAGAAUUCAGAGUCAUGAAUGCAGGAUGAAAGGAAGAAACAUGUCAAGAGAAAGACACCUCAAACAAAUCCUUGUUGCAGUCACCUUCCAUUUGGAAAUCUAUGUCCUCUGGACCAUGUGGAUCCAGAAUAGGUCUGCACAGAUCCAGCUCCAAGUCUCUACCUUUGGAAGACCAUCAAACUUGGCCAUGAGUGAUUGUCCCUGAGUGAGGGGACUUAAUAGUUGAGGCAGAGAUCAUGAAGCUACCAUAGAGUUACACUAAGGCCCACAAUGUCUAUUUAUCUCCAAGCAGUUGCAGUCUGAGAAUGUGUUUUCGUGUGACUGCAGAUUUUGCUUACAGGGGUGGGAGAAUUUUACCACUGUGCUCCAUUACUGUGCACCUGUUAUUUAAAGUCUCUCUAGAUCUCUCAAAUAAAAAAAAGAGAUGAGAAAUGACACACUCACGCCGCAUUGCCCAAGCAGCUGCAAGACUGACCAGAAACAUAGUGGUUUGACUUGAUUUCCCCCAUAACUCCCCCAAACCAUUCCAAAGAUAAUUCCUGGUCAAAUUUGAAACUGGAAGUGUGAGUCUAUUGCCGACUUCAUCCGGUCAUCCUGGAGAACCUGGAGAUUUCAUAAGAGAACAACUCUGUGUGAAUCUCUAGGUCAGUGAUUCUCAUCCUGGGAUCUCCAGAUGUUUUUGGCCUACAACUCCCAGAAAUCCCAGCUAGUUUACCAGCUGUUAGGAUUUCUGGGAGUUGAAGGCCAGAAACAUUUGGGGACCCCAGGUUGAGAACCGCUGCUUUAGGUCUUCCAAUGCAGUGCAAUUGUCAAGUUCCAGUGGACGUUGACUAUAGAGUCAUGCUGGAAAACCUAGAAAUGAACAGAGAUUUAUUCUUUCAGGUUAAAAAAUAGCGACUUAUUUCCUCACAAUUUUUCAUGUGGGUCCUGUGGCCCUAACCACAGCAAAUGCAGAGGGAUGACUGCAAUUAUAGAGUUUGGGGUGUCCUUUCUCACAAUGUACAUGGUUGGAAAUGGGUUGUUGACUGUGAAGCCAGAGCAAAAUUGGAUGCAGAAAGUAUGAACAUCGACAACUUCAGUAUUAACACUACUCAUUAGCAAAACUUAGUGAUAACACAAGUUAUCACUGCUGUAAGUAAGGUGGCUAACAGAUGUUGUGCGAUAAACAUCUGUUAUCUGGUACAAACUUCAGCUCCGCAGUUCAUCACUGUGAUUUACUUGUUUCCUGUUUCCAAGUGUCUGCGGAACCAUGGAGUUGUGUUGCACGUUGAAGAACUAUUGACACAGGUUACACACAACACUAUUGUCUGGUGUUUAACACAGGAAGACCACUUGGAUGCAAAGGGACACCUUUCCACUUUGUCCUUGUUAUUCAUUUGUUUAAAAUCUGUUUCACCUCGGGAUUAACUCAAGAAUGGUAAAAUCUGUUGCCUUAUUAGUAUUAUCUCUCAUCCAAUUAAUGAAUAAACUAAUGGCUUAAUUUUGGGAUUAAGUUAAUGCAGAAAAGCCAGUUUAAGACAUCCACUGUAAUUU
Molecule: long non-coding RNA, 2856 nt
Organism: Anolis carolinensis (green anole)
Lineage: Eukaryota; Metazoa; Chordata; Lepidosauria; Squamata; Anolidae
Exons: 2
Source: RefSeq, a predicted model, not a curated record